GAGUUUGAUCAUGGCUCAGGACGAACGCUGGCGGCGUGGAUUAGGCAUGCAAGUCGCGCGACGAACCUUCGGGUUACGGAGCGGCGAACGGGUGAGUAACACGUGAACAAACUGUCCCUACAUUCCGGAUAAUUGGCCGAAAGGCCUUGUAAAUACGGGGGAGGAUCCUUGGAAGGCAUCUUUUGAGGAAGGAAGGCGCAAGCCGUGCAGGGAGGUGUUCGCGGCCUAUCAGUUAGUAGGUGGGGUAACGGCCUACCUAGACAACGACGGGUAGCUGGUCUGAGAGGAUGGUCAGCCACAUUGGAACUGAGACACUGUCCAGACUCCUACGGGAGGCUGCAGUCGAGAAUCUUGGGGCAAUGCACGCAAGUGUGACCCAGCGACGCCGCGUGGAGGAAGAAGGCCCUUGGGUUGU
RNAcentral lists this ribosomal RNA (415 nucleotides) under uncultured Lentisphaera sp. Its description in RNAcentral is "bacterial SSU rRNA". It matches the Rfam family "Bacterial small subunit ribosomal RNA", at positions 9 to 426 of the family's 1533-position model. The record is from RNAcentral. Lineage: Bacteria; Pseudomonadati; Lentisphaerota; Lentisphaeria; Lentisphaerales; Lentisphaeraceae.